GUUUGGCAAAUAUAGCAUUACAAAAUCGAACUUUUUACAAAGAGCUUAUUGAGCGGAUCCAAUAAAUCCACUUCAACUUCGAAGGGUAAAAGGCUCGAAUGUUGUGAUCCAGGAAGGGCACGCGCCUUUUUCUACCCGCUCGAGUCUCAGUAUACCGAACGAUAGCAGGGCCGACUUUGUAAAAACAAACAACACACUGUAGCUUAUCAAACGAACGCCAGGCAUUGAGCAUCAGCCAGCUUGUAGCAGAGCAAACUUUUCGAGGUUGCCCGGGCAACCGGCAAACACAAAGAAACCAACCACCACUAGCCACGAGACUUGAGAAUUCGCGGUGGCGGCGGCGGCGCGGCUGUAGCAACCCCGAGGAGAAUCGCGUGGAGUGGAGUAUGAAAAAGAGGCCCU
Long non-coding RNA from Trachymyrmex septentrionalis, 402 nucleotides. RefSeq lists it as uncharacterized. The transcript is spliced from 3 exons. The record is from RefSeq and is a predicted model, not a curated record. NCBI's taxonomy places the organism in Eukaryota, Metazoa, Arthropoda, Insecta, Hymenoptera, Formicidae.